RNAcentral lists this ribosomal RNA (488 nucleotides) under uncultured bacterium. RNAcentral describes it as "partial 16S ribosomal RNA". It matches the Rfam family "Bacterial small subunit ribosomal RNA", at positions 28 to 507 of the family's 1533-position model. The record is from RNAcentral.
GACGAACGCUGGCGGCGUGCUUAACACAUGCAAGUCGAACGAAAAUACCAAGCUUGCUUGGUUGAUUAGUGGCGAACGGGUGAGUAACACGUGAGUAACCUGCCCCUUACUUUCCUGGAUAACCGCUCGAAAGGGUAGCUAAUACGGGAUAUUCUGACCAGCCUGCAUGGGUUGGUUGGGAAAGGUUGUUUUUCUGGUAAGGGAUGGGCUCGCGGCCUAUCAGCUUGUUGGUGGGGUGAUGGCCUACCAAGGCUUGGACGGGUAGCCGGCCUGAGAGGGUGGGCGGUCACAGUGGGACUGGGAUACGGCCCAGACUGCUACGGGAGGCAGCAGUGGGGAAUAUUGCAGAAGGGGAGCAAGCCUGAUGCAGCGACGCCGGGUGAGGGAUGGAGGCCUUCGGGUUGUAAACCUCUUUCGUCAGGGAACAAGGCACUGCUUAUGUGGUGGUGUUGAGGGUACCUGGAUAAGAAGCGCCGGCUAACUACGUG